UUUACAUGACAUCUUUGUUCAACAUUCUCAUUUCAUUUGAUAUAUAUAGUGGGUCUGCCACUUUUGCUUCUCUGACUAAUCCCGUCUUCACUCUGGUGGACAGCCUCCUGUAAGUAGAGUCACAGUCGUCAUAUUCUUCAAAUUAAUGGAGCUCUGUCGGAUGUUCAAACUUUGGUCUAUUUAAUGUUAUAACCCAAACCUGAUCAAUACUUUUCCAGGACUCGUUUUGAGAGCUCAUUGAUCUUCGUGUUGUUUGUGUAUUUAUGUUCUCUUAGAAAAUAUCACUAAUACACCAGGAACAGGUGUAUUUAUUUUUAUAUCACGUAACACUUUAAUUGCACACCAUUCAACCGUGUGGGACUUGGUUUCACCUGAACUACUACAGGGGUUUCACACCAAUGGAGGCGAACACUUAUUCGAUCACAAGGGUUCAGCGAGGAGACGGUGCUGACGAAUAAGGAGCUAACAGUGGUCAAGAGCUUCGUUAAUCUGCACCCGAGGACACCUGUUACACACCAUGACCCUAAAAGGACACGGCAGAGCCAAUCAGAAUGCAGCAGCUCCACGCUGUCCAGAAAACAGUUGUGAAGGAGGGACAGAGAUCUUCAUACAUCCCCCUUCCAUUCAGCCACUUAAACCCCACCUCAGCUGUCUGGCAUGUUUUGGGCUCCAUCACACAUGCCAUAGACAGCAUUGCACAGCGCUAUGCAUUUGCCCCCCUUGGCUGGAUCCUUAACUAGACCUGAAACAUUGACCAUUACAGCAGAUCUCCUCCCACUCCCACUUCGCAUUUUCAUACGAACAGACAGAAUUGAAACUAAAAUGUUUAACACACAAAAACACGAUACAGAUAAAACUGAACUGGAUUGAAUUGGAGCAGUGACUUCGAUAUUGUGCUUGUUUAUUUAGGCAACAUUUGAGCAGUGUAUAAGACAUGAGAUUGCAUCAUAACCCUAUUGGCACCAAUGCAAAAAUAUGCAGAUUGAGACUUAUAUGUAUCAUGACAUGGCUCAAACAAACAAACAAACAAACAAAACCCCUGUCAUAACUGUUAAAC
Molecule: long non-coding RNA, 1057 nt
Organism: Ictalurus punctatus (channel catfish)
Lineage: Eukaryota; Metazoa; Chordata; Actinopteri; Siluriformes; Ictaluridae
Source: Ensembl